Non-coding RNA from Xyrichtys novacula (pearly razorfish), 2609 nucleotides. NCBI's taxonomy places the organism in Eukaryota, Metazoa, Chordata, Actinopteri, Labriformes, Labridae. The record is from the annotation of a GenBank genome assembly.
GAAGUUUACACUCACUGUCACUGCGGUUCUUCCUCUAGGACUCCUGUGUGUGUGCGUCUAUGUGUGUGUGUGUGUGUUAUGGUGUGUGUAUCCUAUUCUCAAGGAGGUUCUUGUUAUAAAGUGUCUAUCGUUGGUGUUUUUGUAUGAAGAGUGUCUCUGAAGAUGAUUUUUUUUGCAGUCAUAAGAGGCUCUGUGGCGCAAUGGAUAGCGCAUUGGACUUCUAGGCUGUCUAUGAAAAAGAGAUUCAAAGGUUGUGGGUUCGAGUCCCACCAGAGUCGAGCUUUAAACUCCUGAAUAAAUUUGUAUGCAUGUAAACAUACAUAGAUAUAUUUCAUAGAGAACUCUGUCAGUUGUUUUUACUUCUGCUUCAUAAUUCUUUUCUACUUCUUUGUUACAUUUGUGAGUUUAUAGGUGAUGUAAAAUAAAUGUUUUAAAGCGGAGGACUUUUUACCCUAAUCUUUUCUUUGAACGCUUGAAGCCUUACAGUCAUGCUAUCCGUCUCUGAAACUUAAAAUCAUCCACAAACCAACAGUGAUGCUAUUUUGACUCUCAUCAGCCUGUUGACACAGCACUUGCGAUGGUAAAUCCUGUAUUCUACCAUCAGGGACAGUUUGCAUAUCCAACACUGUCAAGCUUUGUUAAACCCCCCCUACAUUUCAACAGCAUGUUUUGGACAUUUACCAGAAAUGACAAAAAGCAGACUUUGCGAUCUAAAUACUCCAAACCCAGAUUCUGACAGGGCUUGAACCAAUUAUUAAUGCAAAGACUCGCCCAUUGUACUUGCUUCAGCCAAAUCUAAAAAAGUUUCUGCCUUAUUGAGUCAGUAGGUCCUUAUAACCACAAAGAGCUCUGAUGUGUUUGGCCAGAAACAAGAGCAUGUUGAUUGUGAGUCUUUGGGGACCUGUUUUCAAUAUCAUGCAGUCUCUUUAAACAAAACUCAUGUCUUACAAACCAUGAACCCUUUAUAGUUUAUUUACUCUACCUCUAUAAAUAAUUUCUGCACUUCAUGGCCCCAUAGUUUGACCCACUUCUUAAACACUUCAACAGACACUGUUUUUUUUAAAUGAAAUGUAGAAAACAGGACAUAAAACUGGAGACUGAUAUUCUUUGUGUCUGUUCAGCAUCCUGUCAAACUGCUGAAUAAACUAGAAUAUUUAAGGGAUGAAGCGUGUUGUGAGUCUGUGAGACGACGCUGAGGGCAGAAACCCAGGAGGCCUCUCUCUGUUGGUGAUCUCAUCUAAACAUGAACCCAAUACAGGCCGAAAAAUGUAAACACAAGCAGACACACACAGAUACUGUAGCUCGUCAUAUUUGAGACUAUUUGUGGCCUGAAGAACCGCAGACUCCUCUCCGCACAAAUAUGACUAAUAAUUGUAAUUAUUUUUGAGAUCUUGACUAGAGAGCAUGGAGUCCUGUUUGAACACAGCAGAAGCAACUGAAGGAGAUUUAUCUCUUUUAUUUCCACUUUCAGUGAUUUUUGGGAUGUGAACAAUGGAAAUACAUAACCAUCAUCAAAAUGUCAGGAAGCAUUUAAGUCCAUAACACCCUUCAUGUGCUUUUCAUUGGACUACGUAUCAGCAAUCCCACCACCAGAGUCUUGUCUUAGAGCACUGUGAGUCAAUGGUCACAAUGUUUGAUUAGAUUUCAGUCCCUUUCUGUCAAAUGGACUUGACCAAAGCACCCUGGAAACCUUUUCUUCACUCAAAAUCUGUUUGUUUCAGACAUAACAUAUGAGCGUGGACAUUGAGUGGCUCUGUGGCGCAAUGGACAGCGCAUUGGACUUCUAGUAAUGCCAGUGAGAAGGUAUUCAAAGGUUGUGGGUUCGAGUCCCACCAGGGUCAAGUCUUAUAGGCUUGGACACCCAGAGCAUGUGGUUGAGCACAUUAUUGGGCUUUAGAAACCUCUGUGACAACUUCCUACUGUAGUAAAAAGGUUCAGGACUCUGUGGUGCAAUACACAGCAUGAAACUUAAAAGUAUUGAGUAGAGUUGUUAAAAGGUUAGGGGUUCAACUUUCACCAAAGGCAAAUCACAAAUGCUUGAGCCAUCUGUCUUAUUUGGGUUUCCUGGAUUCAGAGUAUGGAAACAGCAUUGAAAACUAAUUCCAGUUGAGGAAGCUGUGACCUUUGCCCUUGACCUCUUAUACCUACAUGAGCUUGGGUUGAAGCUGGUUCUCCUGUGAAGCCCUGUGGAAGUGAAAUAAUGGAGUCAAACAAUGUGAGGAAACUGGACCGUUCGACAGCUCUGACUGUUUCAUUUAAUCUAUGCCGAGGUGCGUGCUCGGUCUCUCCGGUUACUGCAGCAACAAGAUAGGUGUCUCUCUCUCUCUCUUUAUCACACACACACAUACACACUGCUGUUAUGAUGUAAGUGAGAGUCUUGGUCAGCUUCCAUAGACAGCCACUAGGGUGUUUGUGUGUGACAAACUGUGUUUGAGGCGGAUGCACCUGGAAAUACCUUUGUAGGUGAUGAUGACAUAUGCACACUAUCAAACCCACACGCACACACACGCCUCAGCAUUUUCCUCUUUUAUAUUUAAGUGCUGACAUUCAAGUCCUGAUGGACCUAUCACUCGGUGUGUGUGUGUGUGUGUGUGUGUGUGUGUGUGUGU